GACGAACGUUGGCGGCGUGCUUAACACAUGCAAGUCGAACGGAAAGGCCCUGCUUUUGUGGGGUGCUCGAGUGGCGAACGGGUGAGUAACACGUGAGUAACCUGCCCUUGACUUUGGGAUAACUUCAGGAAACUGGGGCUAAUACCGGAUAGGAGCUCCUGCUGCAUGGUGGGGGUUGGAAAGUUUCGGCGGUUGGGGAUGGACUCGCGGCUUAUCAGCUUGUUGGUGGGGUAGUGGCUUACCAAGGCUUUGACGGGUAGCCGGCCUGAGAGGGUGACCGGCCACAUUGGGACUGAGAUACGGCCCAGACUCCUACGGGAGGCAGCAGUGGGGAAUAUUGCACAAUGGGCGGAAGCCUGAUGCAGCAACGCCGCGUGCGGGAUGACGGCCUUCGGGUUGUAAACCGCUUUCGCCUGUGACGAAGCGUGAGUGACGGUAAUGGGUAAAGAAGCACCGGCUAACUACGUGCCAGCAGCCGCGGUGAUACGUAGGGUGCGAGCGUUGUCCGGAUUUAUUGGGCGUAAAGGGCUCGUAGGUGGUUGAUCGCGUCGGAAGUGUAAUCUUGGGGCUUAACCCUGAGCGUGCUUUCGAUACGGGUUGACUUGAGGAAGGUAGGGGAGAAUGGAAUUCCUGGUGGAGCGGUGGAAUGCGCAGAUAUCAGGAGGAACACCAGUGGCGAAGGCGGUUCUCUGGGCCUUUCCUGACGCUGAGGAGCGAAAGCGUGGGGAGCGAACAGGCUUAGAUACCCUGGUAGUCCACGCUGUAAACGGUGGGUACUAGGUGUGGGGUCCAUUCCACGGGUUCCGUGCCGUAGCUAACGCUUUAAGUACCCCGCCUGGGGAGUACGGCCGCAAGGCUAAAACUCAAAGGAAUUGACGGGGCCCCGCACAAGCGGCGGAGCAUGCGGAUUAAUUCGAUGCAACGCGUAGAACCUUACCUGGGUUUGACAUGGAUCGGGAGUGCUCAGAGAUGGGUGUGCCUCUUUUGGGGUCGGUUCACAGGUGGUGCAUGCCUGUCGUCAGCUCGUGUCGUGAGAUGUUGGGUUAAGUCCCGCAACGAGCGCAACCCUUGUUCACUGUUGCCAGCACGUUAUGGUGGGGACUCAGUGGAGACCGCCGGGGUCAACUCGGAGGAAGGUGGGGAUGACGUCAAGUCCUCAUGCCCCUUAUGUCCAGGGCUUCACGCAUGCUACAAUGGCUGGUACAGAGAGUGGCGAGCCUGUGAGGGUGAGCGAAUCUCGGAAAGCCGGUCUCAGUUCGGAUUGGGGUCUGCAACUCGACCUCAUGAAGUCGGAGUCGCUAGUAAUCGCAAAUCAGCAACGCUGCGGUGAAUACGUUCCCGGG
This 1343-nucleotide ribosomal RNA is filed under the name uncultured bacterium. RNAcentral's name for it is "16S ribosomal RNA". It matches the Rfam family "Bacterial small subunit ribosomal RNA", at positions 28 to 1378 of the family's 1533-position model. The record is from RNAcentral.